RNAcentral lists this ribosomal RNA (397 nucleotides) under uncultured bacterium. RNAcentral's name for it is "bacterial SSU rRNA". It matches the Rfam family "Bacterial small subunit ribosomal RNA", at positions 358 to 772 of the family's 1533-position model. The record is from RNAcentral.
GGAAUCAUAGACAAUGGGGGAAACCCUGAUCUUGCCAUGCCGCGUGGACGAUGAAGGCCUUAGGGUUGUAAAGUCCUUUCACCGGGGAAGAUAAUGACGGUACCCGGAGAAGAAGCCCCGGCUAACUCCGUGCCAGCAGCCGCGGUAAUACGGAGGGGGCUAGCGUUGUUCGGAAUUACUGGGCGUAAAGCGCGCGUAGGCGGGCUGUUAAGUCGGGGGUGAAAUCCCGGGGCUCAACCCCGGAACUGCCCUCGAUACUGGCAGCCUUGAGGAUGGCAGAGGCCAGUGGAAUGGCGAGUGUAGAGGUGAAAUUCGUAGAUAUUCGCCGGAACACCAGUGGCGAAGGCGACUGGCUGGGCCAUUUCUGACGCUGAGGCGCGAAAGCGUGGGGAGCAAA